RNAcentral lists this microRNA (25 nucleotides) under Drosophila ananassae. Its description in RNAcentral is "Dan-Novel-6_3p* (star (passenger))". Lineage: Eukaryota; Metazoa; Arthropoda; Insecta; Diptera; Drosophilidae. The record is from RNAcentral.
UGGAAGCAUUUGGCGUACAUCUAAA